Molecule: ribosomal RNA, 206 nt
Filed under: uncultured bacterium
Lineage: Bacteria
Description: partial 16S ribosomal RNA
Rfam family: Bacterial small subunit ribosomal RNA
Source: RNAcentral
UCCGUAGGCGGUUUUGUAAGUCAGUGGUGAAAGCCCAUCGCUCAACGGUGGAACGGCCAUUGAUACUGCAAGACUUGAAUUAUUAGGAAGUAACUAGAAUAUGUAGUGUAGCGGUGAAAUGCUUAGAUAUUACAUGGAAUACCAAUUGCGAAGGCAGGUUACUACUAAUAUAUUGACGCUGAUGGACGAAAGCGUGGGAGCGAACA